Molecule: non-coding RNA, 950 nt
Organism: Epinephelus lanceolatus (giant grouper)
Lineage: Eukaryota; Metazoa; Chordata; Actinopteri; Perciformes; Serranidae
Source: RefSeq, a predicted model, not a curated record
UUUCAAUAACAUCCAUGAAGUCUCUCUGUCAACAUUGGGUCGAAUCCUCAAAUUAAAUAAAGUACACAUGAAGCAACUGUAUCGAGUACCAUUUGACAGAAAUUCAGAGAGAGUGAAACGUCUGCGUAAUGAGUAUGUGGAGAGAGUCUUGCAAAUGGAUGCUGACGAAAUCCAACAUGAAUUUAUAUAUGUUGAUGAGGCUGGAUUUAACCUUGCGAAAACUAGAAGAAGAGGGAGAAAUGUAAUUGGACACAGGGCAAUUACCAAUGUGCCAGGGCAGCGAGGGGGUAACAUCACCCUUUGCGCUGCCAUUACCCAAAAUGGGGUCCUCCACCGCCAUGCGAAUCUGGGACCCUAUAACACCAAUCUAAUACUUGCAUUUCUUGAUAGAUUACACGACAUCGUCACAGCAUUAAACCAAGUGGACCACAUGCAGUACAUUGUCAUUUGGGACAAUGUAUCUUUCCAUCGAUCUGCUCUGGUUCACAAUUGGUUCCAUGAGCACCCUGAAUUUGCAGUCUUAUACCUUCCACCAUAUUCCCCCUUCCUAAACCCAAUAGAGGAGUUUUUUUUGCAUGGCGGUGGAAGGUAUACGACUUUCAGCCCUACAACCGUUUGCCCCUCAUUCAGACCAUGGAGCAGGCCUGUGAUCUUAUCGAAGCAGCUUCUGUGCAGGGGUGGAUUCGUCACACAAGGCGAUUCUUCCAACAGUGCCUUGCCAAUGAAGACAUAGCCUGUAUUACAUACAGUAUUGUUGUUGUUGUUGUUGCUUUAGUUUUUCUUCAGAGUUGCUGUAAGUGUAGAUACUUCAUGCAGUAAUUUUUAUUUGUCUACAGAUUUUUAUUUGUCUACACUUUACAGUAGUAAGAAAAACUACUAUUUUGUUCUGAUUUUCAUUGUUGAUCUGUUACUGUAACUGAGUAUGGUAAGAAAUAAAUAUUUUCAGUCUG